GAUCUUGUAGCUCAGUUGGUAGAGCAGCACACUCUUAAUGUGCGGGUCCUAAGUUCGAGCCUUAGCGGGAUCA
This 73-nucleotide transfer RNA is filed under the name Pedobacter cryoconitis. Its description in RNAcentral is "tRNA-Lys". It matches the Rfam family "tRNA". From Rfam's summary of the family: Transfer RNA (tRNA) molecules are approximately 80 nucleotides in length. Their secondary structure includes four short double-helical elements and three loops (D, anti-codon, and T loops). The record is from RNAcentral. Lineage: Bacteria; Pseudomonadati; Bacteroidota; Sphingobacteriia; Sphingobacteriales; Sphingobacteriaceae.